AAUAAGCGUAAUCAUGAGUUUUCGUGUCCAACUUAUUUAAAUUUUUUUCUGAUUAGUAUUUUAAUUAUUAUUUUUUUGACUGGAAGUAUUUUAAUUAUUAUUAGAUUAUAAAAUAUGAAUAGUAUUUUAUGCGAGACUUAUGUUUUUUUUUAUUUUUUUUAAAAAAAUUUAAAUAAGACAGACAAUUAAAGUUGGAGAUAGGAACUCAUUGCUGUGCUUAUU
This 222-nucleotide microRNA precursor is filed under the name Oryza sativa Japonica Group (Japanese rice). Its description in RNAcentral is "MIR812 microRNA precursor family". It matches the Rfam family "MIR812 microRNA precursor family". The record is from Rfam by way of RNAcentral. Lineage: Eukaryota; Viridiplantae; Streptophyta; Magnoliopsida; Poales; Poaceae.